Molecule: ribosomal RNA, 305 nt
Filed under: uncultured bacterium
Lineage: Bacteria
Description: partial 16S ribosomal RNA
Rfam family: Bacterial small subunit ribosomal RNA
Source: RNAcentral
ACAGCAGUAGCCGCGGUAAUACCGAGGGUGCGAGCGUUAAUCGGAUUUACUGGGCGUAAAGCGUGCGUAGGCGGCUUUUUAAGUCGGAUGUGAAAUCCCUGAGCUUAACUUAGGAAUUGCAUUCGAUACUGGGAAGCUAGAGUAUGGGAGAGGAUGGUAGAAUUCCAGGUGUAGCGGUGAAAUGCGUAGAGAUCUGGAGGAAUACCGAUGGCGAAGGCAGCCAUCUGGCCUAAUACUGACGCUGAGGUACGAAAGCAUGGGGAGCAAACAGGAUUAGAUACCCCGGUAGUCCCUGUCUCUUAUAC